RNAcentral lists this ribosomal RNA (428 nucleotides) under Candida tropicalis. RNAcentral describes it as "eukaryotic LSU rRNA". It matches the Rfam family "Eukaryotic large subunit ribosomal RNA", at positions 158 to 593 of the family's 3401-position model. Lineage: Eukaryota; Fungi; Ascomycota; Pichiomycetes; Serinales; Debaryomycetaceae. The record is from RNAcentral.
GUAUCUUUGGGUCUGGCUCUUGUCUAUGUUUCUUGGAACAGAACGUCACAGAGGGUGAGAAUCCCGUGCGAUGAGAUGAUCCAGGCCUAUGUAAAGUUCCUUCGAAGAGUCGAGUUGUUUGGGAAUGCAGCUCUAAGUGGGUGGUAAAUUCCAUCUAAAGCUAAAUAUUGGCGAGAGACCGAUAGCGAACAAGUACAGUGAUGGAAAGAUGAAAAGAACUUUGAAAAGAGAGUGAAAAAGUACGUGAAAUUGUUGAAAGGGAAGGGCUUGAGAUCAGACUUGGUAUUUUGUAUGUUACUUCUUCGGGGGUGGCCUCUACAGUUUAUCGGGCCAGCAUCAGUUUGGGCGGUAGGAGAAUUGCGUUGGAAUGUGGCACGGCUUCGGUUGUGUGUUAUAGCCUUCGUCGAUACUGCCAGCCUAGACUGAGG